UGGGAGAAGUAGGGCAGUUGUUUUCUGCAUCUUAUGUGGGAGGUUAAGGGUUCCACUAGCCCCUAUGUUUAUCCAUCCUAAAUGUUCACUUGAGGACAGAGGAAGUAAUCAUGGGAUAAGUCUUCUGCAGCAUUUGACCCACUGUCAGAUGGACCAAGAACAGAAUUUUUGCUGGCUUCCAUAAGCCUUCACUCUAAGAAAAGACGAUGAUGGGAUUUUGAGUCUCCUAUAACAAGCCCUUAGGAAAUGAAAACACGUGGAUGACUGCCCUGUGAUAUUUUGAUGAUCCUUAUAGUCAGAAGGAUGAAGCAAAUGAUGUCUCCAGAUAAAAUCAAUUUACCCCUAAGAUAUUCAGAAAAAAAUAGGAUUCCAAAGUCAAGAAAUCCAGAGCUACGAAUGGAAAUACUACACAUUUUUCUUUUUAAUUGGUGGUGGUGAGAUGGAGAGACCUCGUGUUAUGUAUGUGAAAUUAAUGAGUGGAAAGUAUGGUGAAGAGAGGGCACACAAAUGGACCAAGCAGUGCUGGAAAACUCAAACUUGGUGUCAGAAACAUACACUGAAAAUUUGACAGCAUAAGAUGUGCAAAAUUUUUGGCCCUUCUAUCAAUGCCAGAAAAGAUUUUAUUUUGAAAGUGUUCCCAGGAUGAACAUUUUAUAUAACACAUGACGCAUGCAGAGAACGCAGACGUUGGAUUAAAGAGUCAUAAGUUCAAACACCACAGCUCCAGACUUACUAGCCAUGUUCCCUUAAAUCCGUUUUCAACUUCUUUCAUUGUCACCUGUAAAAUGCUUUG
This 793-nucleotide long non-coding RNA is filed under the name Equus caballus (horse). Its description in RNAcentral is "lncRNA (ENSECAG00000052461.1)". Lineage: Eukaryota; Metazoa; Chordata; Mammalia; Perissodactyla; Equidae. The record is from RNAcentral.